UACAGAGGUCUCAACCGUUGUUCGGAUUCAUUGGGCGUAAAGGGUGCGUAGGCGGUCGCGCAAGUCGGAUGUGAAAUCUCAGGGCUCAACCCUGAAACUGCAUUCGAUACUGCGUGGCUAGAGUGCUGGAGGGGAGACUGGAAUUUACGGUGUAGCAGUGAAAUGCGUAGAUAUCGUAAGGAAGACCAGUGGCGAAGGCGAGUCUCUGGACAGGAACUGACGCUGAGGCACGAAGGCCAGGGGAGCAAACGGG
Molecule: ribosomal RNA, 253 nt
Filed under: uncultured bacterium
Lineage: Bacteria
Description: partial 16S ribosomal RNA
Rfam family: Bacterial small subunit ribosomal RNA
Source: RNAcentral